This 497-nucleotide ribosomal RNA is filed under the name uncultured bacterium. RNAcentral describes it as "partial 16S ribosomal RNA". It matches the Rfam family "Bacterial small subunit ribosomal RNA", at positions 28 to 507 of the family's 1533-position model. The record is from RNAcentral.
GACGAACGCUGGCGGCGUGCCUAAUACAUGCAAGUUGAGCGGUGAAGGUUGGUACCUGUGCCAACUGGAUGAGCAGCGCACGGGUGAGUAACGCGUGUGGAAUCUGCCUUUGAGCGGGGGACAACAUGGGGAAACGAGUGCUAAUACCGCAGAAAAACUUUAAACACAGGGUUGAAGUGUGAAAUAUGCAAUUUCAUCACGCAAAGGUGAUCCCGCGUUUUGUUAGUUAGGUGGUGAGGUAAAGGCUCACCGAGGCGAUGAUACAUAGCCGACCUGAGUGGGUGAUUGGCCCGCUUGGGAGGGAGACCCGGCACAAAAUGCUACGGGAGGCAGCAGUAGGGAAUCUUGGGCAAUGGACGGAAGUCUGAGCGCGAAACGCCGAGGGAGGGAAGAAGGGCGUCGGAUCGGAAAACUCUGUUGGUAGGGAAGAAAGUGCGUGAGAGUGGAACGCUGAGCAAGUGACGGUAACUACCAAGAAAGGGACGGCUAACUACGUG